UAGGGAAUCUUCCACAAUGGACGCAAGUCUGAUGGAGCAACGCCGCGUGAGUGAAGAAGGUCUUCGGAUCGUAAAGCUCUGUUGUUGGUGAAGAAGGAUAGAGGCAGUAACUGGUCUUUAUUUGACGGUAAUCAACCAGAAAGUCACGGCUAACUACGUGCCAGCAGCCGCGGUAAUACGUAGGUGGCAAGCGUUGUCCGGAUUUAUUGGGCGUAAAGCGAGCGCAGGCGGAAUGAUAAGUCUGAUGUGAAAGCCCACGGCUCAACCGUGGAACUGCAUCGGAAACUGUCAUUCUUGAGUGCAGAAGAGGAGAGUGGAACUCCAUGUGUAGCGGUGGAAUGCGUAGAUAUAUGGAAGAACACCAGUGGCGAAGGCGGCUCUCUGGUCUGCAACUGACGCUGAGGCUCGAAAGCAUGGGUAGCGAACAGGAUUAGAUACCCUGGUGAGUCCAUGCCGUAAACGAUGA
RNAcentral lists this ribosomal RNA (466 nucleotides) under uncultured bacterium. RNAcentral describes it as "partial 16S ribosomal RNA". It matches the Rfam family "Bacterial small subunit ribosomal RNA", at positions 355 to 812 of the family's 1533-position model. The record is from RNAcentral.